UGAGGAAUAUUGGUCAAUGGGCGGGAGCCUGAACCAGCCAAGCCGCGUGAGGGAAGAAGGCCCUAUGGGUCGUAAACCUCUUUUGUCAGGGAACAAAAGCGAGUAUGUAUACUGGUCUGAGUGUACCUGAAGAAAAAGGCAUCGGCUAACUCCGUGCCAGCAGCCGCGGUAAUACGGAGGAUGCGAGCGUUAUCCGGAUUUAUUGGGUUUAAAGGGUGCGUAGGCGGCGGUGCAAGUCAGCGGUAAAAGCCCGGGGGCUCAACCCCGGCGAGCCGUUGAAACUGCAGUGCUAGAGAAGGCGAGAGGUACGCGGAAUGCGCAGUGUAGCGGUGAAAUGCUUAGAUAUUGCGCAGAACUCCGAUUGCGAAGGCAGCGUACUGGCGCCUGACUGACGCUGAGGCACGAAAGCGUGGGGAUCGAACAGGAUUAGAUACC
RNAcentral lists this ribosomal RNA (435 nucleotides) under uncultured bacterium. Its description in RNAcentral is "bacterial SSU rRNA". It matches the Rfam family "Bacterial small subunit ribosomal RNA", at positions 355 to 786 of the family's 1533-position model. The record is from RNAcentral.